AACGAACGCUGGCGGCAGGCUUAACACAUGCAAGUCGAGCGCAUCCUUCGGGGUGAGCGGCAGACGGGUGAGUAACGCGUGGGAACGUACCCUUUCCUACGGAAUAGCUCCGGGAAACUGGAAUUAAUACCGUAUACGCCAUUAGGGGGCAAGAUUUAUCGGGGAAGGAUCGGCCCGGGUUGGAUUAGCUAGUUGGUGGGGUAAAGGCCUACCAAGGCGACGAUCCAUGGCUGGUCUGAGAGGAUGAUCAGCCACAUUGGGACUGAGACACGGCCCAAACUCCUACGGGAGGCAGCAGUGGGGAAUAUUGGACAAGGGGCGCAAGCCUGAUCCAGCCAUGCCGCGUGAGUGAUGAAGGCCUUAGGGUUGUAAAGCUCUUUCAGUAGGGAAGAUAAUGACGGUACCUACAGAAGAAGCCCCGGCUAACUUCGUGCCAGCCGCCGCGGUAA
This 449-nucleotide ribosomal RNA is filed under the name uncultured bacterium. Its description in RNAcentral is "partial 16S ribosomal RNA". It matches the Rfam family "Bacterial small subunit ribosomal RNA", at positions 29 to 523 of the family's 1533-position model. The record is from RNAcentral.